CUACAAAGAAAAUUGGCACAUCGAAAAAGAAGAUAGAGGUUCUUUGAUCGAAAAUUCUUCGAUACUUAAGUUAGCAGCAAUUGAAGAAGAAGAACAGUCAAGAAAGAUGAUGAAAAAGUGUAGCGUUCAAAGAUCAAAGAAAAAAUCUCAUAUUCUUCUCUUCAUUUUUCUUUUUAUAGGAGAGAGUCUACCAGGUGGUUAGCAC
RNAcentral lists this long non-coding RNA (205 nucleotides) under Elaeis guineensis (African oil palm). Its description in RNAcentral is "long non-coding RNA (EGUI_LNC006217)". Lineage: Eukaryota; Viridiplantae; Streptophyta; Magnoliopsida; Arecales; Arecaceae. The record is from RNAcentral.